GAAAAACCGCCCGAGGAGGUGCUCCGCCUUAUUAACAUCAAUAAGGCAGACCCAGGCUUCAGUGGGAUUCCUGGUGGGCUAGAAACCACAAUUGCAGCAGAGAAGGAAUUAAAGGUCGAUGAGCUGCCAAAUGGUGAUGUGGUUAUUCAAGUCAUACCAGAAUCAGAUUCAGAAGCAGAGAGACG
Molecule: long non-coding RNA, 185 nt
Organism: Mya arenaria
Lineage: Eukaryota; Metazoa; Mollusca; Bivalvia; Myida; Myidae
Exons: 3
Source: RefSeq, a predicted model, not a curated record